RNAcentral lists this unclassified non-coding RNA (253 nucleotides) under Fusarium sp. Its description in RNAcentral is "partial contains 5.8S ribosomal RNA, internal transcribed spacer 2, and large subunit ribosomal RNA". The record is from RNAcentral. Lineage: Eukaryota; Fungi; Ascomycota; Sordariomycetes; Hypocreales; Nectriaceae.
CGCACAUUGCGCCCGCCAGCAUUCUGGCGGGCAUGCCUGUUCGAGCGUCAUUUCAACCCUCAAGCCCUAGCGGUUUGGUGUUGGCGGCAGGGUGGCCCUCGUGCUACCCGCCGCCGAAAUGCAGGGGCGGUCGCCUCGCGGUAACCAUUACGCAGUAGUAACAUCUCGUAACUGGGACGCGGAGCGGCCACGCCUAACCCUAAUUCUUUCUAGAGUUGACCUCGGAUCAGGUAGGGAUACCCGCUGAACUUAA